Molecule: ribosomal RNA, 468 nt
Filed under: uncultured bacterium
Lineage: Bacteria
Description: partial 16S ribosomal RNA
Rfam family: Bacterial small subunit ribosomal RNA
Source: RNAcentral
GACGAACGCUGGCGGCGUGCUUAACACAUGCAAGUCGAACGGAAAGGCCCUGCUUUUGUGGGGUGCUCGAGUGGCGAACGGGUGAGUAACACGUGAGUAACCUGCCCUUGACUUUGGGAUAACUUCAGGAAACUGGGGCUAAUACCGGAUAGGAGCUCCUGCUGCAUGGUGGGGGUUGGAAAGUUUCGGCGGUUGGGGAUGGACUCGCGGCUUAUCAGCUUGUUGGUGGGGUAGUGGCUUACCAAGGCUUUGACGGGUAGCCGGCCUGAGAGGGUGACCGGCCACAUGGGGAAUGAGAUACGGCCCAGACUCCGACGGGAGGAAGCAGUGGGGAAGAUUGCACAAUGGGCGGAAGCCUGAUGCAGCAACGCCGCGUGCGGGAGGACGGCCUUCGGGUUGUAAACCGCGUUCGCCUGUGACGAAGCGUGAGGGACGGUAAUGGGUAAAGAAGCACCGGCUAACUACGGG